AGUGAACGCUGGCGGUAGGCCUAACACAUGCAAGUCGAACGGCAGCACAGUAAGAGCUUGCUCUUACGGGUGGCGAGUGGCGGACGGGUGAGGAAUACAUCGGAAUCUACUUUUUCGUGGGGGAUAACGUAGGGAAACUUACGCUAAUACCGCAUACGACCUACGGGUGAAAUCAGGGGAUCUUCGGACCUUGCGCGUUUGAAUGAGCCGAUGUCGGAUUAGCUAGUUGGCGGGGUAAAGGCCCACCAAGGCGACGAUCCGUAGCUGGUCUGAGAGGAUGAUCAGCCACACUGGAACUGAGACACGGUCCAGACUCCUACGGGAGGCAGCAGUGGGGAAUAUUGGACAAUGGGCGCAAGCCUGAUCCAGCCAUACCGCGUGGGUGAAGAAGGCCUUCGGGUUGUAAAGCCCUUUUGUUGGGAAAGAAAAGCAGCAGGUUAAUACCCCGCUGUUCUGACGGUACCCAAAGAAUAAGCACCGGCUAACUUCGUG
This 492-nucleotide ribosomal RNA is filed under the name uncultured bacterium. Its description in RNAcentral is "partial 16S ribosomal RNA". It matches the Rfam family "Bacterial small subunit ribosomal RNA", at positions 29 to 507 of the family's 1533-position model. The record is from RNAcentral.